RNAcentral lists this ribosomal RNA (460 nucleotides) under uncultured bacterium. RNAcentral's name for it is "partial 16S ribosomal RNA". It matches the Rfam family "Bacterial small subunit ribosomal RNA", at positions 338 to 795 of the family's 1533-position model. The record is from RNAcentral.
CCUACGGGAGGCAGCAGUGAGGAAUAUUGGUCAAUGGACGCAAGUCUGAACCAGCCACGCCGCGUGCAGGAAGACGGCUCUAUGAGUUGUAAACUGCUUUUGUACGAGGGUAAACGCAGAUACGCGUAUCUGUCUGAAAGUAUCGUACGUAUAAGGAUCGGCUAACUCCGUGCCAGCAGCCGCGGUAAUACGGUGGAUUCAAGCGUUAUCCGGAUUUAAUGGGUUUAAAGGGUGCGUAGGCGGUCGGAUAAGUUAGUGGUGAAAUCCCGAGGCUCAACUUCGGAAUUGCCUCGGAUACUGUUCGGCUAGAGAGUAGUUGCGGUAGGCGGAAUGUAUGGUGUAGCGGUGAAAUGCUUAGAGAUCAUACAGAACACCGAUUGCGAAGGCAGCUUACCAAGCUACUUCUGACGUUGAGGCACGAAAGCGUGGGGAGCAAACAGGAUUAGAUACCCCGGUAGUC